GAUUUGACUGUAUAUAUAUAUAGAGUAGGGCUAGAAUACUUUUACAAGUAUCACCCAAGUGAUACUUGUGUGUUUUUAGCCAUUGGAUCUACUUUUUGAUUACUAAUAGUUCUUGGAUCAAACACUAUUCCACCUACCACCACCUAUCACCACCUACCACCAUCAUCUCAACCUCACAUCUCUCCAUCCAAGAGCUAAAAACACACAAGUAUCACUUGGGUGAUACUUUUACAAGUAUUCUAGCUCUACUCUAUAUAUAUAUAUAUUAAUGCAAUUGGGUUCUAAAAUUUGGAUUAAAAAAUGUUUUAUAUAUAUAUUUAUAUUAGUUCAGGAGUUCAUAUAUUUUUUUUACAUUUUUAGGAUCAAUAAAAGUUAAAAAUUGUAAGAUAUAUAAACGUUUAGUUUGUAUAAGUGUAUAGAUAAUAUUUGCUUUUUUG
Molecule: long non-coding RNA, 437 nt
Filed under: Ananas comosus (pineapple)
Lineage: Eukaryota; Viridiplantae; Streptophyta; Magnoliopsida; Poales; Bromeliaceae
Description: long non-coding RNA (ACOM_LNC008354)
Source: RNAcentral